UCUCUGGCAGUGGAUCGUCGUUCUUCAUCGCUGGAGCUCGAGUGUGGUCUCUCUCUGUCGGUGGCCAUGGCGGACUUCCUCUCUCCUUUCUCUUCUUCUCGUCUUUUAUGUCUUUCGAGGGGUCUCCGGACGAAUCUCGGAGGAGCUGGUGAUGUCUUUGUGGGCGAUAUCAGAGCAACUCCAUUUGCUGCGCGGGUUUCAUGAUCGAAUUGCUGAAAUUUCGAAUUUUGGCCUUUUUGGUUCAUUGGAGUGGCCAGAAGAAUCAUAUUGACGCUGCCAACGCUGUGGGUGUUAAGCACAUUGUAUUGGUUGGAUUCAUGGGAGGUACAAACCCUCAUCUUCUGCUGAACAGCCUUGGCAAUGGCAAGAUCUUUGCAAGUUAUUCGGAUUUCUUAAUAAAAGAUGUGACUUUUUGUCUAUAAUAUACAUGAGUGAACUGAAUGUUUUAGAGUAUCAAAUGCUUUUGGCUGUUUGUAGGUGUGGAAGCGGAAGGCUGAGCAGAGAAUUCCAUGCGCUUUGAUUUUUCUGUGAGAUGGGAUGCAAUGGUAUUUGUGAUCACAAAGCUCUGUUUGGUAGUAUCUGAGUGAAUCUCAAUCACAGGCUGGAGAGUCACAAGAUAAAGAUGGGGGACCUGCAGGAAUUACUUGUGGGCAAAAAUGACACACUUCUGCAGACUGAAACUAAAUUAAUCCUCAGGGGCUGAUGUUGCAGAAGCUUGCACUUAAGUAUGAAAUUGAAACUGUUAAGCAACUCCUUUAAAUUUAUCAAAACCCUUGCUACAUGCCAAGUUCUUGUCAUGAAUCCGGAUCUUAUUCAGUGCAUGUUAUAAUAAUAAAAAUGUGAAUCAUAUGUUAGCCAGAGGAAUGUUGAUUGUGAGAAGUGAUUAUGUUCAA
Long non-coding RNA from Dioscorea cayenensis subsp. rotundata (Guinea yam), 893 nucleotides. RefSeq lists it as uncharacterized. Lineage: Eukaryota; Viridiplantae; Streptophyta; Magnoliopsida; Dioscoreales; Dioscoreaceae. The transcript has 3 exons. The record is from RefSeq and is a predicted model, not a curated record.